UGACCUCGGAUCAGGUAGGGAUACCCGCUGAACUUAAGCAUAUCAAUAAGCGGAGGAAAAGAAACCAACAGGGAUUGCCUCAGUAACGGCGAGUGAAGCGGCAAGAGCUCAAAUUUGAAAUCUGGCAUCCACCGGGUGUCCGAGUUGUAAUUUGGAGAGGCAUCUUCCUGGUUAGGCGCUUGCCUAUGUUCCUUGGAACAGGACGUCGCAGAGGGUGAGAAUCCCGUGCACGGCAAGCCCGCCUAUACCGCUGUGAAGCGCCUUCGAAGAGUCGAGUUGUUUGGGAAUGCAGCUCAAAAUGGGUGGUAAAUUUCAUCUAAAGCUAAAUACCGGCGAGAGACCGAUAGCGCACAAGUAGAGUGAUCGAAAGAUGAAAAGCACUUUGAAAAGAGAGUUAAAAAGUACGUGAAAUUGUUGAAAGGGAAGCGCUUGAGACCAGACUCGGGCCUUGGUGAUCAGCGGUCCUUCUGGGCCGUGCACUCGCCUUGGCUUCGGGCCAGCAUCGGUUGGGAUGGCGGGAUAAAGGCCCUGGGAAUGUGGCUCCUCUCGGGGAGUGUUAUAGCCCUGGGCGCAAUGCCGCCAAUGACUCCCGACCGAGGAACGCGCCUUCACCGGCACGGAUGCUGGCGUAAUGGUCUUCAGCGACCCGUCUUGAAACACGGACC
This 665-nucleotide ribosomal RNA is filed under the name Phymatotrichopsis omnivora. RNAcentral describes it as "eukaryotic LSU rRNA". It matches the Rfam family "Eukaryotic large subunit ribosomal RNA", at positions 1 to 667 of the family's 3401-position model. Lineage: Eukaryota; Fungi; Ascomycota; Pezizomycetes; Pezizales; Rhizinaceae. The record is from RNAcentral.